RNAcentral lists this transfer RNA (73 nucleotides) under bacterium. RNAcentral's name for it is "tRNA-Ala". It matches the Rfam family "tRNA". Rfam says of the family: Transfer RNA (tRNA) molecules are approximately 80 nucleotides in length. Their secondary structure includes four short double-helical elements and three loops (D, anti-codon, and T loops). RNAcentral also lists the same sequence under 7 other names. The record is from RNAcentral.
GGGGCCAUAGCUCAGCUGGGAGAGCGCCUGCUUUGCAAGCAGGAGGUCGUCGGUUCGAUCCCGACUGGCUCCA